This 322-nucleotide ribosomal RNA is filed under the name uncultured Pseudomonas sp. RNAcentral describes it as "bacterial SSU rRNA". It matches the Rfam family "Bacterial small subunit ribosomal RNA", at positions 1058 to 1382 of the family's 1533-position model. The record is from RNAcentral. Lineage: Bacteria; Pseudomonadati; Pseudomonadota; Gammaproteobacteria; Pseudomonadales; Pseudomonadaceae.
GCUCGUGUCGUGAGAUGUUGGUUAAGUCCGUACGAGCGCAACCCUUGUCCUUAGUUACCAGCACGUUAUGGUGGGCACUCUAAGGAGACUGCCGGUGACAAACCGGAGGAAGGUGGGGAUGACGUCAAGUCAUCAUGGCCCUUACGGCCUGGGCUACACACGUGCUACAAUGGUCGGUACAAAGGGUUGCCAAGCCGCGAGGUGGAGCUAAUCCCAUAAAACCGAUCGUAGUCCGGAUCGCAGUCUGCAACUCGACUGCGUGAAGUCGGAAUCGCUAGUAAUCGUGAAUCAGAAUGUCACGGUGAAUACGUUCCCGGGCCUU